This 484-nucleotide ribosomal RNA is filed under the name uncultured bacterium. Its description in RNAcentral is "partial 16S ribosomal RNA". It matches the Rfam family "Bacterial small subunit ribosomal RNA", at positions 30 to 507 of the family's 1533-position model. The record is from RNAcentral.
AUUGAACGCUGGCGGCAGGCCUAACACAUGCAAGUCGAGCGGAUGAAGGGAGCUUGCUCCUGGAUUCAGCGGCGGACGGGUGAGUAAUGCCUAGGAAUCUGCCUGGUAGUGGGGGAUAACGUCCGGAAACGGGCGCUAAUACCGCAUACGUCCUGAGGGAGAAAGUGGGGGAUCUUCGGACCUCACGCUAUCAGAGGAGCCUAGGUCGGAUUAGCUAGUUGGUGGGGUAAAGGCCUACCAAGGCGACGAUCCGUAACUGGUCUGAGAGGAUGAUCAGUCACACUGGAACUGAGACACGGUCCAGACUCCUACGGGAGGCAGCAGUGGGGAAUAUUGGACAAUGGGCGAAAGCCUGAUCCAGCCAUGCCGCGUGUGUGAAGAAGGUCUUCGGAUUGUAAAGCACUUUAAGUUGGGAGGAAGGGCAGUAAGUUAAUACCUUGCUGUUUUGACGUUACCAACAGAAUAAGCACCGGCUAACCUCGUG